Molecule: ribosomal RNA, 484 nt
Filed under: uncultured bacterium
Lineage: Bacteria
Description: partial 16S ribosomal RNA
Rfam family: Bacterial small subunit ribosomal RNA
Source: RNAcentral
AUUGAACGCUGGCGGCAUGCUUUACACAUGCAAGUUGAACGGCAGCGCGGGCUUCGGCCUGGCGGCGAGUGGCGAACGGGUGAGUAAUACAUCGGAACGUGCCCAGUAGUGGGGGAUAGCUCGGCGAAAGCCGGAUUAAUACCGCAUACGACCUGAGGGUGAAAGCGGGGGAUCUUCGGACCUCGCGCUAUUGGAGCGGCCGAUGGCAGAUUAGUUAGUUGGUGGGGUAAAGGCCUACCAAGGCGACGAUCUGUAGCUGGUCUGAGAGGACGACCAGCCACACUGGGACUGAGACACGGCCCAGACUCCUACGGGAGGCAGCAGUGGGGAAUUUUGGACAAUGGGCGAAAGCCUGAUCCAGCAAUGCCGCGUGUGUGAUGAAGGCCUUCGGGUUGUAAAGCACUUUUGGCGGGAACGAAAAGGACUGUGCCAAUACCACGGUUCGAUGACGGUACCCGCAGAAUAAGCACCGGCUAACUACGUG